This is a non-coding RNA of Novosphingobium sp. SCN 63-17, 402 nucleotides long. The record is from Rfam. NCBI's taxonomy places the organism in Bacteria, Pseudomonadati, Pseudomonadota, Alphaproteobacteria, Sphingomonadales, Sphingomonadaceae.
CCCCUUUUCUUUUGCAAAAUUGCGCCUAUAUCACCCCUCGCCGGUUUCGACCGGCUAUGGUGAUAAACUGCGGCGUGCAAUAGAUGCAGCGGACCCGGGGGCGGUACCCGGCGGCUCCACCAUCACUACCCGGACCUGUGCCGGGGCCUCGUUGUCGCGAGGGUGUUGAUGGGGCCGAACUAGGAUCGACGUGUGUUGAAAAGCGCUGUUUUUGCCCGGGCUGAGUAACCCGUAUAAGGCUCAAAACUCAUAAGUGCCAACGACAACGAAGCACUUGCUCUGGCUGCGUAAUUCUAGGCCUUAACGGGCUGAAGUUACAAACCUAGAACACGGUUGAACCCACCGGGUAACAGAAGGGAAUUCGGGGGCCCGGGGCGGGCCUAGCAACAGAACCGCCCCACC